Molecule: ribosomal RNA, 468 nt
Filed under: uncultured bacterium
Lineage: Bacteria
Description: partial 16S ribosomal RNA
Rfam family: Bacterial small subunit ribosomal RNA
Source: RNAcentral
CACGCGGGGGAGUGUGUUUUUUUUUUCCAUGCCACGCAAAAACUUUUCUGUGGUCUUGAUAUCCACGGAAGUUUUCAAAGAUGAAAAUGUUUUUUCGGGAACUGUAAGACAGGUGCUGCAUGGCUGUCGUCAGCUCGUGUUGUGAGAUGUUGGGUUAAGUCCCGCAACGAGCGCAACCCUUAUCCUUUGUUGCCAUCGUUCCGGUGGGAACUCUCAAGGAGACCUGCCGGUGAAACCUGGGAGGAGGGGGGGGAUGACAUCAAGUCCUCAUGGCCUUUAUGUCCAGGGCUACACACGUGCUACAAUGGACGCAUACAAAGAGCUGCCCACCCCCGAGAGGGAGCGGAUCCUCAUAAAGCGUUCUCAUUCCGGAUAGGAGUCUCCACCUCUCCCUCCAUGAACUCGAAUUCGCUAUAAUUCGGGAAUAAAACAGCCACGGAAAUUAUUUUCCCGGGCUUUUAAAACACC